AAAUUUUUUUAAAAAGACAUGUAUAAUUAUUUCGUCUUUCAAAGAACGUACAUAUUCAUAUAUAAAUAAAGAAGCUCCAAUGCUUUCAAAAUUAAUUUACUCAUAUAUCAAACUUAAUUUUAUACAUUUAAACUUUAUGCCGUUAGAUAACAUGAAUUUUUUAAAUUGUAGUGUCAUUAAAAUUUAUGAUUCAAUAGUUGAGAAAAUAAAUACUAUCAUAAUAUACAUAUCAAAAUUAAAAGAAUAUCAAUAUUGCUUUAAAAUUGCAAAUAGUUAUAUACCUCUACUCUACAUUGAUUCAUUAAGAUUGAGAAAUGUUUUAAAAUAUAAUUUUCCAUUUGAUCAAUUGGGAAAUCAUGAAGACAUAUAUCGUCCGCUGUAUUUCUCAGAUGAAGACUUAAUUGAUAAAGAAAUACAUGAUAUUCAAGUAUCGAGUGAUGAAAAUUAUGAUGAUGAGAAAAAUAGUGAUGACAAUGAGGUUGUUGAAAUAAAGAAUGAAACGUAUUACUCUCCUAAAUACUUAGAAGAUUAUUUACUUUUCGUAUAACUUAUAAAAUGUUAGUCAAAUGUAUUAGAAGAAAAAUCGAUGUCUUUGAGGAACGUUUGCACAAAAGCAUGGCUGGUAUGGGAACAGAUGAUAAGACUUUGAUAAGAAUUAUAGUGUCAAGGUCUGAAAUCGAUCUCGGUGACAUUAAAUUGGCAUUUGAAAGAUUAUAUGGGAUUUCUUUGGAAUCUUGGAUUAGCGUAAGUUGACAAUUAGCAAUAAUUAGCCUGAGUAAUUAUUAAAAUGGUAGUAGAUUUUAAUUAAAAUUUUUGUUAUUACAGGGAGAUAUUUCUGCAGAUUAUAAGAAACUUUUAUUCAAAUUGAUUGGAUAAAAUGU
Daktulosphaira vitifoliae (grape phylloxera) is the source of this 881-nucleotide long non-coding RNA. RefSeq lists it as uncharacterized. The transcript has 3 exons. Lineage: Eukaryota; Metazoa; Arthropoda; Insecta; Hemiptera; Phylloxeridae. The record is from RefSeq and is a predicted model, not a curated record.